AGAGUUUGAUCCUGGCUCAGAACGAACGUUGGCGGCAUGGAUUAGGCAUGCAAGUCGAGGGAACGUAGCAAUACGGAACCGGCGUAAGGGGCAGUAAGGCAUGGGUAUCUACCCAGGGGUUCGGGAUAGCCACCAGAGAUGGUGGGUAAUACCGGAUGAUGUCGUGAGACCAAAGAUUCAUCGCCCUUGGAGGAGCCCAUGUGAUAUUAGCUAGUUGGUGAGGUAAAGGCUCACCAAGGCGACGAUCUGUAGCGGGUCUGAGAGGAUGAUCCGCCACACUGGAACUGAGACACGGUCCAGACUCCUACGGGAGGCAGCAGUGGGGAAUUUUGGACAAUGGGGGCAACCCUGAUCCAGCCAUGCCGCGUGAGUGAAGAAGGCCUUCGGGUUGUAAAGCUCUUUCGGCCGGGAAGAAAUCGCAUGGGUUAAUACCCUGUGCGGAUGACGUACCGGCAUA
RNAcentral lists this ribosomal RNA (457 nucleotides) under uncultured bacterium. Its description in RNAcentral is "bacterial SSU rRNA". It matches the Rfam family "Bacterial small subunit ribosomal RNA", at positions 8 to 485 of the family's 1533-position model. The record is from RNAcentral.